GGGGUAAUGGCCCACCAAGGCAACGACGGGUAGCUGGUCUGAGAGGAUGGUCAGCCACACUGGGACUGAGACACGGCCCAGACUCCUACGGGAGGCAGCAGUGGGGAAUCUUGGGCAAUGGAGGGAACUCUGACCCAGCGACGCCGCGUGCGGGAUGAAGGCCUUCGGGUUGUAAACCGCUUUCAGCAAGGAAGAAGCGAAAGUGACGGUACUUGCAGAAGAAGCACCGGCUAACUAUGUGCCAGCAGCCGCGGUAAUACAUAGGGUGCAAGCGUUGUCCGGAAUUAUUGGGCGUAAAGAGCUCGUAGGUGGUUCGUCACGUCGGAUGUGAAAAUCUGGGGCUUAACCCCAGACCUGCAUUCGAUACGGGCGAGCUAGAGUGUGGUAGGGGAGACUGGAAUUCCUGGUGUAGCGGUGGAAUGCGCAGAUAUCAGGAGGAACACCAAUGGCGAAGGCAGGUCUCUGGGCCAUUACUGACACUGAGGAGCGAAAGCGUGGGGAGCGAACAGGAUUAGAUACCCUGGUAGUCCACGCCGUAAACGGUGGGCACUAGGUGUGGGACCUACUCAACGGGUUCCGUGCCGCAGCUAACGCAUUAAGUGCCCCGCCUGGGGAG
RNAcentral lists this ribosomal RNA (616 nucleotides) under uncultured bacterium. RNAcentral describes it as "bacterial SSU rRNA". It matches the Rfam family "Bacterial small subunit ribosomal RNA", at positions 254 to 880 of the family's 1533-position model. The record is from RNAcentral.